GACGAACGCUGGCGGCGUGCCUAAUACAUGCAAGUAGAACGCUGAAGGAGGAGCUUGCUUCUCUGGAUGAGUUGCGAACGGGUGAGUAACGCGUAGGUAACCUGCCUGGUAGCGGGGGAUAACUAUUGGAAACGAUAGCUAAUACCGCAUAAUAGCAGUUGUUGCAUGACAACUGUUUGAAAGGUGCAAUUGCACCACUACCAGAUGGACCUGCGUUGUAUUAGCUAGUUGGUGGGGUAACGGCUCACCAAGGCGACGAUACAUAGCCGACCUGAGAGGGGGAUCGGCCACACUGGGACUGAGACACGGCCCAGACUCCUACGGGAGGCAGCAGUAAGGAAUCUUCGGCAAUGGACGGAAGUCUGGCCGAGCAACGCCGCGUGAGGGAAGAAGGUUUUCGGAUCGUAAAGCUCUGUUGUAAGAGAAGAACGAGUGUGAGAGUGGAAAGUUCACACUGUGACGGUACCUUACCAGAAAGGGACGGCUAACUACGUG
RNAcentral lists this ribosomal RNA (495 nucleotides) under uncultured bacterium. RNAcentral's name for it is "partial 16S ribosomal RNA". It matches the Rfam family "Bacterial small subunit ribosomal RNA", at positions 28 to 507 of the family's 1533-position model. The record is from RNAcentral.